AGUGGGGAAUUUUGGACAAUGGGGGCAACCCUGAUCCAGCCAUUCCGCGUGAGUGAAGAAGGCCUUCGGGUUGUAAAGCUCUUUCAGCAGGAACGAAACGGUGGCCCCUAAUACGGGCUACUAAUGACGGUACCUGAAGAAGAAGCACCGGCUAACUACGUGCCAGCAGCCGCGGUAAUACGUAGGGUGCGAGCGUUAAUCGGAAUUACUGGGCGUAAAGCGUGCGCAGGCGGUUGUGCAAGACAGGUGUGAAAUCCCCGGGCUUAACCUGGGAACUGCGCUUGUGACUGCAUAACUCGAGUGUGGCAGAGGGGGGUGGAAUUCCACGUGUAGCAGUGAAAUGCGUAGAGAUGUGGAGGAACACCGAUGGCGAAGGCAGCCCCCUGGGUCAACACUGACGCUCAUGCACGAAAGCGUGGGGAGCAAACAGGAUUAGAUACCCUGGUAGUCCACGCCCUAAACGAUGCGAACUAGGUGUUGGGGAAGGAGACUUUCUUAGUACCGCAGCUAACGCGUGAAGUUCGCCGCCUGGGGAGUACGGUCGCAAGAUUAAAACUCAAAGGAAUUGACGGGGACCCGCACAAGCGGUGGAUGAUGUGGAUUAAUUCGAUGCAACGCGAAAAACCUUACCUACCCUUGACAUGUCAGGAAGUCCGCUGAGAGGUGGAUGUGCCCGAAAGGGAACCUGAACACAGGUGCUGCAUGGCUGUCGUCAGCUCGUGCCGUGAGAUGUUGGGUUAAGUCCCGCAACGAGCGCAACCCUUGUCGUUAAUUGCCAUCAUUCAGUUGGGCACUUUAACGAGACUGCCGGUGACAAACCGGAGGAAGGUGGGGAUGACGUCAAGUCCUCAUGGCCCUUAUGGGUAGGGCUUCACACGUCAUACAAUGGUCGGUACAGAGGGUCGCCAACCCGCGAGGGGGAGCCAAUCCCACAAAGCCGAUCGUAGUCCGGAUCGCAGUCUGCAACUCGACUGCGUGAAGUCGGAAUCGCUAGUAAUCGUGGAUCAGCAUGUCACGGUGAAUACGUUCCCGGGUCUUGUACACACCGCCCGUCACACCAUGGGAGUGGGUUCCACCAGAAGUAGGUAGUCUAACCGCAAGGAGGGCGCUUACCACGGUGGGAUUCAUGACUGGGGUG
RNAcentral lists this ribosomal RNA (1138 nucleotides) under uncultured bacterium. RNAcentral's name for it is "bacterial SSU rRNA". It matches the Rfam family "Bacterial small subunit ribosomal RNA", at positions 353 to 1482 of the family's 1533-position model. The record is from RNAcentral.